GAAAAAAUCCUUUCUUAACUCCCAUUAGGAAUUUCAGUUUUCUUUUGGCAUUUUUUCAUUAAUUUCUUUAAUACAAUGAAAAAUGUUUGGAGCAGUAAUUCCUUAAUCCUGUACAGUGGUAAUAUAAUCUUCAUUUGUUCACAGUCAUUCAACCUGAAUCAUCCUCGAGCUCUGAAGCUGAUGUGUGAGCACAGUGAUAAAUCCAGCCACCACCUCAGUGCAGGUGCUCCCAUGUAAAACACACCUCUGUGGCAGCCUCAGGGCUGUGCCAGUGCCCAGCUGAGGAAUCAGCUGUGGGGAGAUGAUGGUUUUGGCAGGAGGGACAGGGCUGCCCAAGAGUGUGGCUCGGUCAGCUGGUGGCCCUGGUCUGGAGCAUGAAUUUAGCCCUGGGGACUCUGGAGUUCAGCACCAGCAGGACAGAGGUGAGGGAUGGUGAGGUUGAUAAUAAACCCCUGCCUGUUUUUCCAUCAAACCUCCCCAGUGUGAGAGUGCUCCUUAUUUCACACAGCCUGAGGUCUGAGCUUGCUGCUCCAGGAGCACAGACAGCAUUGGGCAGCUGGUUUAGGGUGAGUUAGCCCCACCACUCAAAAUGUGCCUGCCUCCCAGGCUGACCCUAACUCACUUCCAGGCCAGUAUUGUGGAGUCCUGUGGAGCCAUUCCUCAGUGUUCCAGCCCUACCUGGUGGGUAUCACUGAUAUCCUGAAGUCCUUGAUUUCAGUUCCCUAAAGAGAUCUAAGCAAUGAGAUAAGGCCCCUGUAUUGGUACUGCACCCUCCACUGAACAGCAAAUAUGGGGAUGGGGAAGCCUGGCCCCAAAGGCAGGACUGGGAGCUGCUCUUACCUGGUAGCUACAUCUGAGCAGGUGUCAAGGUGGGGUAAGCUCAGAAUGGCCCAAUUUUCCCCAAUUUUCUUGCCCUAAGCCACCAGACCUGUCCCAGUGAGCAGGGCCAGCAGUGAGUGUGGGCACAGUUCCUCACCCACCUCACCCAGCUGAAUCAUCUCUCCAAUUCUCAUUACUACAAUUUGCUGCUCUCUUUUUCCCUCCCUCCCUCUUUUAAAGCCCCUCUCCAGGUCCAAUCCAGCAGAGGUGUGCUGUGUUUGCUGCCAGUCCUGAGCAUCCCCCAGAACCACUGUGCCCCUCUGAGGACCUGCUUGGCACCUGACCCUGCUGCCAUUCAGUGCCACCUUUCAAAUCACUCCAGUCAAAUCAGGGGCUCACCUGGGAGGAGCUGCUGGUGGUGGAUGGAGGUGAAGAGCCAAGACAUUCCCAUUACAGGGACAGAGGCAGCUGAGCCCUGUACUGUGCACUGUGGGAUGGGCACAGGGAGGCCGAGCCCUUUGACCAGGGAUGUCCGCCUGGGAAACACACGAUUCAGCGUUGACAGGGGUUGUUCUGAAUGUAACAGGAUCCCACGGCAGAUGUAA
This 1424-nucleotide long non-coding RNA is filed under the name Zonotrichia albicollis (white-throated sparrow). RNAcentral describes it as "lncRNA (ENSZALG00000004490.1)". Lineage: Eukaryota; Metazoa; Chordata; Aves; Passeriformes; Passerellidae. The record is from RNAcentral.